AUUGCAACUGUUGAAGGGUCUAAGUGUUGUACUAAUCAUCCUGAACUUGGAAAUUGUGUCCCUGGUGCGGAUGACAACCCAAACAGUGGAAAAUGCUGGACAUUUUGCACUUCAGAUUGUGAGAAAGGAGGAAUCUGCAAACUAUUUGGCGACCGUCAUCAUUGCCAUUGCUUAUGUUGAUUUUCUUUCAACCCUAUUCCAUAA
Molecule: long non-coding RNA, 204 nt
Filed under: Prunus dulcis (almond)
Lineage: Eukaryota; Viridiplantae; Streptophyta; Magnoliopsida; Rosales; Rosaceae
Description: sRNA ncRNA
Source: RNAcentral